CGCGGCGCGGGCCGCGGCCGGGGCGGAGGGCGGCCUCGGCGGGGCAGCUCCCCCCCUUCCCCCCCUCCCCACACACAACCGCCCCCGGUAACGGCCGCCGCGCGCCGGGGCCCAGGGCCAGGUCCCCCUUCCAAAAUGCCUUUGCUUGAAAAGCAAGAAAAUGGUGAGCAGGUGUUGAUGAAAAAUGAAAGCUAUUUGCAAAUCUUGAAAAAUAAGGAUCAGAGAAAGAGACUUGUCCAUGAAAUCUGUUCCUUUUUAGACAGCAGUCAGUCUGUCCAAGAAAUUAAUGCUUUGAGGACAGAAAAUAGGAAGCUAAAAAAUGCGAACUCAAGACUGCGAUAUAAAACAAAAGAUUGGGCAUUAAGGAAAGAAGAGUAUAAAAAUGAGAUUGAGAGACUUUCUGGCGAGAUAUCCAGCUACUUAAAUGUCACCAAUUUCUGGUAUGAAGAGUCAGAGCUUCUGAAUGGCCCAGCAGAUAAGAGGAUACCAAGGGAACAGACCAAACAUGCGAGGACUGUUGCAACUCAGACAGGUGAAGAAAGCUCAAGGAUGACUUUGGAUGGUGGAAGAGCAGUUUAAUGUCAACGUGACUUGUUGCUGGACAACAUAAUGUUUGACAUUGUUUCAAAUUUCAGUCUUAAGAAUAUAUUCAAAUAUAUAUAUUUAUAUAAAUAAAAAUCUAUUUAAUCUUACUAAUAAUUAUUCU
Molecule: long non-coding RNA, 706 nt
Filed under: Apteryx rowi (Okarito brown kiwi)
Lineage: Eukaryota; Metazoa; Chordata; Aves; Apterygiformes; Apterygidae
Description: lncRNA (ENSARWG00000008595.1)
Source: RNAcentral